Molecule: ribosomal RNA, 186 nt
Filed under: Solanum tuberosum (potato)
Lineage: Eukaryota; Viridiplantae; Streptophyta; Magnoliopsida; Solanales; Solanaceae
Description: rRNA SSU_rRNA_eukarya
Rfam family: Eukaryotic small subunit ribosomal RNA
Source: RNAcentral
AUAUGCUUAAAAAAAAACCCAUGUGAUAACAUUAUAGGAUUUUGGUCCUAUUACGUUGGCCUUCAGGAUCGGAGUAAUGAUUAACAGGGACAGUCGAGGGAAUUCGUAUUUCAUAGUCAGAGGUGAAAUUCUUGGAUUUAUAAAAGAAGAACAACUGCGAAAGCAUUUGCCAAAGAUGUUUUCAUU